CUACGGGGUGCAGCAGUGGGGAAUAUUGCACAAUGGAGGAAACUCUGAUGCAGCAACGCCGCGUGGAGGAUGACACUUUUCGGAGCGUAAACUCCUUUUAUAUAGGAAGAAGAUGACGGUACUAUAUGAAUAAGCGCCGGCUAACUCCGUGCCAGCAGCCGCGGUAAUACGGAGGGCGCAAGCGUUACUCGGAAUCACUGGGCGUAAAGAGCGUGUAGGCGGAUUAAAAAGUCAGAAGUGAAAUCCUAUAGCUUAACUAUAGAACUGCUUCUGAAACUCUUUACCUAGAAUAUGGGAGAGGUAGAUGGAAUUUCUGGUGUAGGGGUAAAAUCCGUAGAGAUCAGAAGGAAUACCGAUUGCGAAGGCGAUCUACUGGAACAUUAUUGACGCUCAGAUGCGAAAGCGUGGGGAGCAAACAGGAUUAGAUACCCGCGUAGUC
Molecule: ribosomal RNA, 439 nt
Filed under: uncultured bacterium
Lineage: Bacteria
Description: partial 16S ribosomal RNA
Rfam family: Bacterial small subunit ribosomal RNA
Source: RNAcentral